AUUCCAGCUCCAAGAGCGUAUAUUAAAGUUGUUGCAGUUAAAAAGCUCGUAGUUGGAUUUCUGGUCUAAUGCGCCUGGCCCGCUGCCGUUAGGUAUGUGAGUGCCGGUGCGCGUUUACCAUCCUUCCAGAGAACACUUCUACCAUUUAUUUGGACGGAUGUUGUCUUCUGGAUCUUUUACUUUGAAAAAAUUAGAGUGUUUAAAGCAGGCCUUUGCUGUGAAUACAUUAGCAUGGAAUAAUAAUCUAGGACUUCGGUUCUAUUUUGUUGGUUUCUAGUACUGAAGUAAUGAUUGAUAGGGAUAGUUGGGGGCAUUCGUAUUCCGUUGUCAGAGGUGAAAUUCUUGGAUUUACGGAAGACGAACGACUGCGAAAGCAUUUACCAAGGAUGUUUUCAUCG
This 398-nucleotide ribosomal RNA is filed under the name Cryomonadida sp. RNAcentral's name for it is "partial small subunit ribosomal RNA". It matches the Rfam family "Eukaryotic small subunit ribosomal RNA", at positions 582 to 975 of the family's 1831-position model. The record is from RNAcentral. Lineage: Eukaryota; Cercozoa; Thecofilosea; Cryomonadida.